RNAcentral lists this ribosomal RNA (1389 nucleotides) under uncultured Lactobacillus sp. RNAcentral's name for it is "bacterial SSU rRNA". It matches the Rfam family "Bacterial small subunit ribosomal RNA", at positions 27 to 1383 of the family's 1533-position model. Lineage: Bacteria; Bacillati; Bacillota; Bacilli; Lactobacillales; Lactobacillaceae. The record is from RNAcentral.
GGACGAACGCUGGCGGCGUGCCUAAUACAUGCAAGUCGAACGAACUCUGGUAUUGAUUGGUGCUUGCAUCAUGAUUUACAUUUGAGUGAGUGGCGAACUGGUGAGUAACACGUGGGAAACCUGCCCAGAAGCGGGGGAUAACACCUGGAAACAGAUGCUAAUACCGCAUAACAACUUGGACCGCAUGGUCCGAGUUUGAAAGAUGGCUUCGGCUAUCACUUUUGGAUGGUCCCGCGGCGUAUUAGCUAGAUGGUGGGGUAACGGCUCACCAUGGCAAUGAUACGUAGCCGACCUGAGAGGGUAAUCGGCCACAUUGGGACUGAGACACGGCCCAAACUCCUACGGGAGGCAGCAGUAGGGAAUCUUCCACAAUGGACGAAAGUCUGAUGGAGCAACGCCGCGUGAGUGAAGAAGGGUUUCGGCUCGUAAAACUCUGUUGUUAAAGAAGAACAUAUCUGAGAGUAACUGUUCAGGUAUUGACGGUAUUUAACCAGAAAGCCACGGCUAACUACGUGCCAGCAGCCGCGGUAAUACGUAGGUGGCAAGCGUUGUCCGGAUUUAUUGGGCGUAAAGCGAGCGCAGGCGGUUUUUUAAGUCUGAUGUGAAAGCCUUCGGCUCAACCGAAGAAGUGCAUCGGAAACUGGGAAACUUGAGUGCAGAAGAGGACAGUGGACUCCAUGUGUAGCGGUGAAUGCGUAGAUAUAUGGAAGAACACCAGUGGCGAAGGGCGGCUGUCUGGUCUGUAACUGACGCUGAGGCUCGAAAGUAUGGGUAGCAAACAGGAUUAGAUACCCUGGUAGUCCAUACCGUAAACGAUGAAUGCUAAGUGUUGGAGGGUUUCCGCCCUUCAGUGCUGCAGCUAACGCAUUAAGCAUUCCGCCUGGGGAGUACGGCCGCAAGGCUGAAACUCAAAGGAAUUGACGGGGGCCCGCACAAGCGGUGGAGCAUGUGGUUUAAUUCGAAGCUACGCGAAGAACCUUACCAGGUCUUGACAUACUAUGCAAAUCUAAGAGAUUAGACGUUCCCUUCGGGGACAUGGAUACAGGUGGUGCAUGGUUGUCGUCAGCUCGUGUCGUGAGAUGUUGGGUUAAGUCCCGCAACGAGCGCAACCCUUAUUAUCAGUUGCCAGCAUUAAGUUGGGCACUCUGGUGAGACUGCCGGUGACAAACCGGAGGAAGGUGGGGAUGACGUCAAAUCAUCAUGCCCCUUAUGACCUGGGCUACACACGUGCUACAAUGGAUGGUACAACGAGUUGCGAACUCGCGAGAGUAAGCUAAUCUCUUAAAGCCAUUCUCAGUUCGGAUUGUAGGCUGCAACUCGCCUACAUGAAGUCGGAAUCGCUAGUAAUCGCGGAUCAGCAUGCCGCGGUGAAUACGUUCCCGGGCCUUG